Molecule: RNA transcript, 1825 nt
Organism: Wyeomyia smithii (pitcher-plant mosquito)
Lineage: Eukaryota; Metazoa; Arthropoda; Insecta; Diptera; Culicidae
Gene name: cell growth regulator with RING finger domain protein 1-like
Exons: 9
Source: RefSeq, a predicted model, not a curated record
CACGGAAGUAGAUAGUGUUUAUAUUUUAAGUUUUGUGUUUUUUUCAGCUCGAUUUUACCGAUUUUACCGCAAUCCUGUGUGUAAUGGAAGUGUUGCUCAGUUUAUAAUUGUUCUUAGUGUACUGACAUCGCAAAAUUCUAAGAGCAUUUUGGUCACCAAACUAAAGGACUAAAUAAUCUUAUGUAUAUACAGUUUGUUUCUCCAUUGAACGUACAAUGUAAUAGUUUGCCUAUUUGAAAAAAAAAUUGCGAUGCGGUAUUACUGCACAGUGGAUUGGUAAACUGCUAGUGAUUCUUGAUGACGAUGGUUACAUUCAACUUAUUAGUAUUGACGGCAGAGUUAUCUGAUAUAUUUCCUAUUAGUAUAUUGGUGGUUUGCGUUGGGGCCAUGGUCUUCGUUCUGUUCAAAGCUGCCGUCUUAUCCCGCGUACUAACGGACAAUACUUUACGGCAUUCUAUUACAUCUAAUAAUGACAUACAAGUACCAAGGCUACAAAUGACUCGCGUUCAUAUACCAUUUACAUUUGGUUUAUUGGAGGCCAAAUCUAAUUCGUUUGAAGGGGUUCAAAUAGCUAUCUCUAGUCAAGUCAAGUAUACACUGCAGGCGUUUUGGGCGGUAUCCAUAAGAGAGCUUCAUAUGUCCUUAUGGCAAACCUGGAUGGAAUUGCAGGAUCGAACACAUUUAUCCACAAUAAUCAAUUUAAAACAUUGUCAACGAUUGGCAGCCAACAUGAGGUUUCGAGAGCCUCACAGUGAGAAUGUUGUCGUUUUAAAAUCAGUACCGUCCCUCGUAUUGGGAACUCCACCUCGAUUAGUAUAUCCUCUAGUUGUAUUUAUGAUUCGUGAACCACACAAAGAAGAGUUGCUACAUCCGGAUGAAACGGCUAUUCUUGUAAAUGUUAUCCAUAUUAGAGACUCUGUUUGUCCAGUACCGACUUCUGUGCUGGCUCAGUACCUGAAGCAAGUUGGCGGACAGUUAUCGUGUCUACAGCAACUUUAUUUGGCAUCUAGUGAUAUCAUUUCCACUGAAAUUAGAAAUUAUGAUCAAAUGACGCAAUCGUUGGCGGAAACCGCACCUUGCAUUUGCAAUGGAGAUCCACAAAUAUGCAAUUCAGUACCACAGGAUUAUCCAGGAACCGAACACCUGUGCGCAGUAUGUCAUUAUUUCCCUAUAUCUCGAGCAUUACUUCCAUGCCGACACACAUGCAUCUGUGGUGUCUGCUUCAAUAUUGUAUUUCAGGUAAAUUAGACCGCUGUCCAAUGUGUCGGUCAGUUAUCACCAACUUUUUCUGUACUAGAACAGAAGAAUAUAUUCCUGCUGAUGUGUCGGUGCCUAAGUUUACAUCCAAUUGUUAAAAAGCUUAUUCAAAACUUCGUGCGACGGGUUACAAGUUCGACAAUUGCCGCCGAUCUCGACAAUGUUGUUACAGUGUCGAUAAUGCUACUAUUUUAUUAUGGUUGGUGGAGAGUAACAAAGGUUUUCAUCCGAAAAUUUACCAAUAUGAAAAUGCAGAGUUUACUAUUCAAUCUAGGUUUCUUUGGGUUUUCUAUUGGAAGCUAGCAGAGACGUUCUAGGAGAGGAGGGGGAUGUACAAUGUACAUACUUGUGUGACGUAACAUGAAGAAUAAUUAAAAAUGAAAAAAGUAGGAGGCAGAGUUGCCAAUAAACUUUUUAUUUAAACUGCAAGAAUGCUAAAGCAAAAACUGGAAAAAAAUGGAUUUCAAAAAAAAUUAAUAAACAGCAUAAAAAAUGCAAGAGAGCUUCUCUGUGAUGGUUACUGAAUCCAAUGUUAGUUAUAAAUACAACAAAAAAUCAGUCAUUUCAA